Molecule: long non-coding RNA, 1518 nt
Organism: Capra hircus (goat)
Lineage: Eukaryota; Metazoa; Chordata; Mammalia; Artiodactyla; Bovidae
Exons: 4
Source: RefSeq, a predicted model, not a curated record
GCCAUAUCAGGAACCGCCACGGUCCGGCUCGCGUCCCUGCUUCCCUGACCUCCUUCCUUUAUUCCUCGCGCCCCUCGCUGGGGUGGGGGGUCCUCCCUUUCUUCAAACCGGAUUAUUUAAAAAACAAAAAGAAAGGAAAAAAAAAAAAAACCCGCAAAGUCAUCUCUUGGCUCUAUCCGCCAUUCAGGAGGCUGGAUGUCAGUUUUUGAAAGAAAUGGCGCUACGCUCCACUUCUAGAUUUGGGAAACCAGCGGAAUUAAAGGAAACUGUUGAGACAUCUGGACACUGCGUGGCGCUGGCGCCACUGGAGCGGCGGGCCCCGCGCCGGACCAGGACUCCCUCAGACUUUCCCGGCCAUCCAGGCUCCAUGCUGAGGCUGCUUGCCACUCUUGUGUGACAGAAUGAAUGUGCAUUCCUCUUCACAAGGUUUUAGAGGGGGAACUCUGGAUGCUGGUGGAUCGGUGAGAAAAAGCACUUAUUUUACCCCUGACCUGAGCACUGAAGAGAUACCCUUUCACCACUGUUGCAAAUUCAUGCUUCCAAAAACUGCUCUUAGCCAGAACUACCUUCCAGAUGCCCUCUUUCUACCACACUCCUCCUCCUUAGGAUAAGAGAACAAGCACGUGAUGUUUGAAGCAAGAAGAUUGAAGAAUUGUUGCCUGCUAACCCAGCUCUUGGAUUAAAACAAUCUUUUUAGCUCUUUAAUGUGAAGCUCAGGGAUCACUUUUUUUUUUUUUUUCAUUCAUGAGACUUUUGCAACUUGUUAUUUUCAUACCUGAAAUCUGGAGGAAAGCUUAGUCUAAAUAGUUUCUAAAAUAGCCAUUAGCUCAGGAGAUAUGCAGCCAACAGGAGCUAUGUGACAGGAGAUAUGCGUGUGACAGGAACUUUGCCUACACUACACUUUUUUGAUCACAUGUUUUUUUAAGGUGUCAUUUAAAAAGUUUGUUUUUUGGAAAUGAUUCUUCCCACUAUUUUUCUAUAGAGGGUCAGGGAAAUGUAUAAAUAAUUUCUGGGUUAGGUGCAGAAGAUACAUAUGCUGGCAAACAAAUGUACAGUAUUAAAGCAGAUUGUCCUUUGGAGAUACUUUUUCAGGCUUGAGUCCUUUAUUUCUGGAUUUGACUCAAUGGAAAUCUUUACUGAGUUCCUAGCACAUGCACAGCACUCUGCUGAAAUAAUAGGAGUUGGGGGACUACAGUCUAAUUGGAAGACAAGGAUAAAGAGAGAACAUCUAUACAUACAGCACAAAGCAGAAUAAAUUAUAAUAUACAACAAGCUAUGGAAUAUUGUGGAGCAAGAAGGCAUUUUUUAUUAAUGGAGAUAGGAAAUGCAUUACCAAGGUGAUGGCAUUCUUGCUCGGUCACAAAAGACAGGUAGGAUUUUGGCAGGUGAAGAGCCAUUCUAAUGCAAGAGAAUAAUAAUAGAAAAAGCACAGUGGUCCAUUAAGGGCAGAAGCAGGGAAAUAAAGGGUGGCUAGGAUUAUAGUGUGAUUUCUGAGCUGCGUGCACACAGCUGUCCAUG